AUUGAACGCUGGCGGAAUGCUUUACACAUGCAAGUCGAGCGGCAGCGCGGGGCAACCUGGCGGCGAGCGGCGAACGGGUGAGUAACAUAUCGGAACGUACCCAUUGGUGGGGGAUAACACAUCGAAAGAUGUGCUAAUACCGCAUACGACCUGAGGGUGAAAGGGGGGGAUCGCAAGACCUCUCGCCGUUGGAGCGGCCGAUAUCGGAUUAGCUAGUUGGUGGGGUACAGGCCUACCAAGGCGACGAUCAGUAGCUGGUCUGAGAGGACGAUCAGCCCAACUGGGAGUGAGACACGGCCCAGACUCCUGCGGGAGGCAGCAGUGGGGAAUCUUGGACAAUGGACGAAAGCCUGAUUCAGCAAUGCCGCGUGUGUGAAGAAGGCCUUCGGGUUGUAAAGCACUUUUGUCCGGAAAGAAAUGGCUCUGGUUAAUACCUGGGGUCGAUGACGGUACCGGAAGAAUAAGGACCGGCUAACUACGUGCCAGCCGCCGCGGUAA
This 498-nucleotide ribosomal RNA is filed under the name uncultured bacterium. RNAcentral's name for it is "partial 16S ribosomal RNA". It matches the Rfam family "Bacterial small subunit ribosomal RNA", at positions 29 to 523 of the family's 1533-position model. The record is from RNAcentral.